AUGUUCAUGAGUGUGAUCAUAAAACAUUCACUCCGAGAGGAGAAGGGAACACAGUUUGAUUCAGAGUGCAAGUCCCACUGCUUGCUUAUGACUCCAGUUCUGGAUUUGCAGUAUUGCUUGGGUUUGAGCAUACCUGUGGAGAAACUGUCACAGUUGUCCAGACAGGACAAGGAAAGAGGAUGGAAUUUGCACCAAUCAAGAGGGCAGAGCAAGAGGUGGACAGUACAGCAAGUGUUCCUGCUAUUGCUGUAUUGUUGUGUACGUAGCUUGAAUUCAUAACUACCAGUAAUAAAUGUUUAUUUUAAAUAUUUCA
Molecule: long non-coding RNA, 313 nt
Filed under: Numida meleagris (helmeted guineafowl)
Lineage: Eukaryota; Metazoa; Chordata; Aves; Galliformes; Numididae
Description: lncRNA (ENSNMEG00000022068.1)
Source: RNAcentral